GAUGAACGCUGGCGGCGUGCUUAACACAUGCAAGUCGAGCGAGUGAGUUCUUUGGAACGAUCUAGCGGCGGACGGGUGAGUAACACGUGGGCAACCUGCCUCAUAGAGGGGAAUAGCCUCCCGAAAGGGAGAUUAAUACCGCAUAAAAUUAUCGGGUGGCAUCACAUGAUAAUCAAAGGAGCAAUCCGCUAUGAGAUGGGCCCGCGGCGCAUUAGCUAGUUGGUGAGGUAACGGCUCACCAAGGCGACGAUGCGUAGCCGACCUGAGGGGGUGAUCGGCCACAUUGGGACUGAGACACGGCCCAGACUCCUACGGGAGGCAGCAGUGGGGAAUAUUGCACAAUGGGGGAAACCCCGAUGCAGCAACGCCGCGUGAGUGAUGAAGGUCUUCGGAUUGUAAAGCUCUGUCUUUGGGGACGAUAAUGACGGUACCCAAGGAGGAAGCCACGGCUAACUACGUGCCAGCCGCCGCCGUAA
This 476-nucleotide ribosomal RNA is filed under the name uncultured bacterium. RNAcentral describes it as "partial 16S ribosomal RNA". It matches the Rfam family "Bacterial small subunit ribosomal RNA", at positions 28 to 523 of the family's 1533-position model. The record is from RNAcentral.